RNAcentral lists this ribosomal RNA (465 nucleotides) under Vreelandella stevensii. Its description in RNAcentral is "partial 16S ribosomal RNA". It matches the Rfam family "Bacterial small subunit ribosomal RNA", at positions 338 to 795 of the family's 1533-position model. Lineage: Bacteria; Pseudomonadati; Pseudomonadota; Gammaproteobacteria; Oceanospirillales; Halomonadaceae. The record is from RNAcentral.
CCUACGGGCGGCAGCAGUGGGGAAUAUUGGACAAUGGGCGAAAGCCUGAUCCAGCCAUGCCGCGUGUGUGAAGAAGGCCUUCGGGUUGUAAAGCACUUUCAGUGGGGAAGAAAGCCUUGAGGCUAAUACCCUCGAGGAAGGACAUCACCCACAGAAGAAGCACCGGCUAACUCCGUGCCAGCAGCCGCGGUAAUACGGAGGGUGCGAGCGUUAAUCGGAAUUACUGGGCGUAAAGCGCGCGUAGGCGGUCUGAUAAGCCGGUUGUGAAAGCCCCGGGCUCAACCUGGGAACGGCAUCCGGAACUGUCAGGCUAGAGUGCAGGAGAGGAAGGUAGAAUUCCCGGUGUAGCGGUGAAAUGCGUAGAGAUCGGGAGGAAUACCAGUGGCGAAGGCGGCCUUCUGGACUGACACUGACGCUGAGGUGCGAAAGCGUGGGUAGCAAACAGGAUUAGAUACCCCUGUAGUC